RNAcentral lists this long non-coding RNA (605 nucleotides) under Zonotrichia albicollis (white-throated sparrow). Its description in RNAcentral is "lncRNA (ENSZALG00000002768.1)". Lineage: Eukaryota; Metazoa; Chordata; Aves; Passeriformes; Passerellidae. The record is from RNAcentral.
AUGGGUUCCAAAAUCAGGGUCAGAGCUGAGGGAGGGGAAACGGCACCCGAGGAGCCCAGAGGGAGCAGCCAGGUCCGCUGGGAGGUGGCAGCACCAUCCGUGGUGGGGACAGGCGGGUCCCCACCCCAAGAGCCCCUUCACAGACCUUGGGGGCCAUCCCAGGAGUCCUGUGCUCACCAGGGGCCGAUGGCCACUGUCACAGCUGUCCGGUUGUGCCCCAGUGGCCGCUGUCACAGCUGUCCAGGUGUAUCCUGGUGGCUGCUGUCACAGCUGUGUCCCUAUGGCCACUGUCACAGUUGUGUUCCUGUGGCUGCUGUCACAGCUGUGUCCCAGUGGCUGCUGUCACAACUGUCUGGUUGUGCCCUGGUGGCCACUGUCACAGCUGUCCAGGUGUGUCCCGGCCACUGUCACAGCUAUAUCCCUGUGGUUGCUGUCACAGCUGUCCAGGUGUGUCCCGGCCACUGUCACAGCUAUAUCCCUGUGGCCGCUGUCACAGCUGUCCGGUUGUGCCCUGGUGGCCACUGUCACAGCUGUCCAGGUGUGUCCCUGUGGCCACUGUCUGGGUGUGUCCUUGUGCCCGCUGACAGCCCUGGUGGCUCCUUGGG